AAAUGUGUUGAACUGAGCCGCCAUUUUCGAGAACAUUUUGGAAACAUUACAUCCAGCGUGCUACGGCUUGCUCAAGGGAAAUCCCCUUUAGCAAAGCUGCACAAAGAAGCUAGAGAAGAAUCUCUCAUUGAAGACCAUCUUGUGACUCCUAAACUUUAUUUAGCACUUUAUUAAGCCUAUCAAAUUCUUGCCUUUGAUAGAGUUUUACAUAUUUGUUUGUGUAUCACAUUUUAUGUUCCAGGAAUUGAUUUUAAAGCAGCACUUCUCGUGUUGCCAGCCUUGUUCAGAGAAAAACUUGAACAUUUCAUUGUGCUUGGAGAGAGUGAACCAUCUUCACCAUAUCAUACUGUUCAAGUAGAGGAGACCACUGACUGGAAAACUGUGUUUACAAGAAGAGUCACUGCAGUCAUCAGAGUUGAUGGGAUCGAGAUAGAUGAACGGUGUGGAUGAAGGGGCUCUUGCAGCAUUUUGUGCUUAUUUCGUCUUCAAUUUGACAUAUCCAUCCCAUUUGAAGAACACCCUGGUGUUUCUUCAGUGGUAUGUUUUGAGAGUUACUGUGGAUGGUGACAAGCCUCUACCUACCCCAGUUACCAGAAUAAUCAACCUUCUUAACUCAACAUUCUUAACAUAGACACAGACUGGUUAUUGUGUGGCAAGCUUUUAAUUCCUGGGGUUUUUUUGUCGUCAUUUUUACUCAUACUGUGUGAAAUGAGAAUGAAUGGACUGUCCUCUUGCCAGGUGAAGAGGUUGAUUACCAGGCAUUAGAUACCUACAAUGUUGAUGACAAGUUAUUUAUUAGCACUAGAUAUUCUUGCUGAAGACAAACUGCUGCAAAACUUCAAAAUGUGCAGUACUUGAUGUAGCCUGUGUAAUAAGGCUGCUUUACUUGUUUGAGUUUUUCAUUGAAGAGCUAGUUUUUUCUUGACACGCUGUUGUGAGAUGUAAUGAAAUCUUUUUAAAAGAACAUUUCUAAAUAAAAUUGUGUAUUUGUCA
Molecule: long non-coding RNA, 993 nt
Organism: Cyprinus carpio (common carp)
Lineage: Eukaryota; Metazoa; Chordata; Actinopteri; Cypriniformes; Cyprinidae
Exons: 2
Source: RefSeq, a predicted model, not a curated record